Long non-coding RNA from Brassica napus (rape), 2253 nucleotides. RefSeq lists it as uncharacterized. The transcript has 9 exons. Lineage: Eukaryota; Viridiplantae; Streptophyta; Magnoliopsida; Brassicales; Brassicaceae. The record is from RefSeq and is a predicted model, not a curated record.
AUUUUCCAAUAUCUCUUUGGUCUUCUCCCGAUUCAUCUACCUCUGCAAAAACAAUUUUACUCAAUUUUUUUCAGCUUUCCUCCUUCUCUCCUUACUCACUAUAUAAGACGGUGGUUGAUUUACGAAAGAUUCCUCUCACUAAAACCACCAGAUCUCUUCAUGGCCUCCGGGGAAAACGAGUAGUUAGUAACGGCGUUCGGUUUUGGUUCCAUCACUUUACCUCUGUAUACAGUUUACUGUAAAAAUAAAUUAUUCCUUCAUAUUUGGUGAGUCACUGAACGCCUUGCUCCUGGUACAUAAAAAACAUUACUUAACUUUUGUACACUUUUCUUUGAAAAGUGUUCUUCGGAGUUGUCUGUGAUUUCUUUUUUUUUUGAUAUUUUUAUCAUAUUGUGAGAGAGAUGGAGGACUUCGAGUUCCAUCACUGGUGGAGCCUACGGUUAAAGUUUAGUUCAUUAUUUCACUUCCUCUGUUUCAGAUCUUUGGUUUUGUAACUGGUGAAAGCUCUUGAUCUGGUGUUUAAUUAGGUUGUUGGAGAUUUAAAAGGAGGAGAUGACGCUUUACAGGAGAGGAUUUGUCAUCUGUUUUUUCAGGGACCAACGGAAAAUGGGCAAAUUGAUGUUCACUUUCAGGAUCUGUAUAGCGCAAGAACAACGUUCGAGCAGGCCCGACUUCAUUUGGUCAUCACUUUUUCUUAUGCUAUGAGAAUUUCCAAGAUAUUUCCUUUGCUUCAAGCUGCGAGUCAACACCAUCACAUGUAGAAACUAAAUGAGGAUCAUGGUGUGUAUUGCCUCUCUCUCUCUCUCAAAUACUUGAAACAGAAAUCUUUAGCUCAUUCAAGUCGAAGGCUUUAUCUAGAGUUCCCUAAAUGAGCUUUUGCUACAAUAUAUGUACAUGUUUUGUUUUCUUACAGGUUAUAUCGUUUUUGUUAACGGCUUAUGCUCAAACAUCCAUGCGGCAGAUUUUCCUCUUCCAUGUUAUUCUCAUAAGAAAGAUGAAAUCUUCGAUUUCUAUUCGUCUGAAAGCCCAAAACAAACGUUGAUCUCGAAGUUUAUGUGCAGCAGAUGAGAAUCAGCAGGGACUAUCCAUAAAGAUAUAAGGAGAUGGGCAUUCAACUUCUUCCACGCUGAUCAACAAGAAACCAGGUUUCUAUGGAAGCAUAAACCCACGGAAACUGAUCACUUUAAGCUGAUAUGGAUGAAUGCAGACCUCUGUGUAAGAGGACAUAGCGUUUGAUGCGUUGUGUUAUCAGAUCUGGUUGAAGAUUUAGAGGAUGGGGAUCGUACUUCUCAGCCAAAGGACAAAGUUGUGACAUGGAACCUGCCAUUUCGAAGUGAUACCUCAUAUUUGGUCCUGUCUACAACAUAAGAGAAGUACGGAGUUAGGUACUCGAGGCUGAGAUACUUACAUGAUGCAAAAGAGGUUAUCAUAAGCCAUGGGGCGGAUCUCAUCUCAGGUAUUAUUCCCUGAUCUCCACUCAACGAAACCUGACGCGUAACAGAAGGAAUCAGAGGACAACAAGGCCAGUGGUGGAUCUGAUGAGAGAUUUUUCGUAUAGCCAUAUACAUAGCGGGUGGGAUAUGAACCAGUAGCUGUAAUGUUUUGCAUUAUCCUUGCAUUAUCAGUAAAUGACAAUUAGAAGUUACAGCUACUUGCCUUUUUCUUCUACGGUUAAGUUUAUCGUUGUUUUAACGUAAAAGAUAAAUCGGAAGAGUAGACGUGUUGAUAAUUCUGUAGUAGAGUCUUAGGUGUAUCUCUUUAGUUUGAGGGUUAGUUUCAGUAGAAUCUAUGUGCCAUCUUUUGGUUGUAUCUGGUGAAGCUGAAGUUCUUGGUGGGAAUAUGAAAAAGCAGAUAAUGGAUGAGUCUGAGAAUUUGAGUUUGAACUGACUGGUGCCGCCUCAUCCUCCACCGCUUCCACCAUCUCCAGGAUAUGAAUCAAGAGAGGUUGAGGGAGACAGCAUAACCUAAAAACAGAUCAACAAGUUCCCUCAUCCUCUUUGCUGCUAUUGAGGCUGCAGCUCAGAGGCCUAAUCUCCUUCUUGGUUUUGACAAUUCUUGUGAAGGUUUUAUAUCACUGAAGAGGAAAAUCAAAAUUUUCUCGAGUUUUUAUAAUCUUCUGCUAUAGAUUGGGUAGAGCCUCUUUAGAUCAAAAUAAUUAUGAAGGUCGAUAUCAAUAUCUAUUGGUGUCUAUUGGAGAUUCAAAUUUUUAUGUACGGUUACAAUAAUAUGAGUUCAACUUUCAAGUCUAGGAAA